ACGGAUAAGAUAUUCUAUCAAAAAAAAAAAUUAAGCUUAGGAUAAAAUAAGGAAACAAAUUUCAAUAGUGACAUAAUUAGAAGAUCUUCCUCCGCAAAGUGAUUCAGAAGAUGUUGGCAUGGCAGAAUAGAAAAAACCUUAUACAAGUGCUGCUGUAAUAAUUAAUGAGGGAAUGUACAUCAUUAAUGAU
Molecule: long non-coding RNA, 190 nt
Organism: Teleopsis dalmanni
Lineage: Eukaryota; Metazoa; Arthropoda; Insecta; Diptera; Diopsidae
Exons: 2
Source: RefSeq, a predicted model, not a curated record